GAUGAACGCUGGCGGCGCGCCUAACACAUGCAAGUCGAACGAUUAAAGCACCUUCGGGUGUGUAUAAAGUGGCGAACGGCUGAGUAACACGUGGGCAACCUGCCCCUCUCAUUGGGAUAGCCACGGGAAACCGUGGAUAAUACCGAAUACUUCGGGACUUCCGCAUGGAAGACUCGAGAAAGCUCCGGCGGAGUGGGAUGGGCCCGCGGCCUGUUAGCUUGUUGGUGGGGUAAUGGCCUACCAAGGCAAUGAUGGGUAGCUGGGUUGAGAGACCGACCAGCCAGAUUGGGACUGAGACACGGCCCAGACUCCUACGGGAGGCAGCAGUGGGGAAUCUUGCACAAUGGGCGAAAGCCUGAUGCAGCGACGCCGCGUGCGGGAUGAAGGCCUUCGGGUUGUAAACCGCUUUCAGCAGGGACGAGGCGAAAGUGACGGUACCUGCAGAAGAAGCCCCGGCUAACUACGUG
Molecule: ribosomal RNA, 467 nt
Filed under: uncultured bacterium
Lineage: Bacteria
Description: partial 16S ribosomal RNA
Rfam family: Bacterial small subunit ribosomal RNA
Source: RNAcentral